AACGCUAGCUACAGGCUUAACACAUGCAAGUCGAGGGGAAACGAUAUUGGAAGCUUGCUUCCGAUAGGCGUCGACCGGCGCACGGGUGAGUAACGCGUAUCCAACCUGCCCAUCACUUGGGGAUAACCUUGCGAAAGUAAGACUAAUACCCAAUGACGUCUCUAGAAGACAUCUGAAAGAGAUUAAAGAUUUAUCGGUGAUGGAUGGGGAUGCGUCUGAUUAGCUUGUUGGCGGGGUAACGGCCCACCAAGGCGACGAUCAGUAGGGGUUCUGAGAGGAAGGUCCCCCACAUUGGAACUGAGACACGGUCCAAACUCCUACGGGAGGCAGCAGUGAGGAAUAUUGGUCAAUGGGCGCGAGCCUGAACCAGCCAAGUAGCGUGCAGGACGACGGCCCUACGGGUUGUAAACUGCUUUUAUAAGGGAAUAAAGUGAGCCUCGUGAGGCUUUUUGCAUGUACCUUAUGAAUAAGGACCGGCUAAUUCCGUGCCAGCAGCCGCGGUAAUACGGAAGGUCCGGGCGUUAUCCGGAUUUAUUGGGUUUAAAGGGAGCGCAGGCCGUGGGUUAAGCGUGUCGUGAAAUUCCGUCGCUCAACGGCGGACGUGCGGCGCGAACUGGUCCACUUGAGUACGCGGGACGUUGGCGGAAUUCGUGGUGUAGCGGUGAAAUGCUUAGAUAUCACGAAGAACUCCGAUUG
This 696-nucleotide ribosomal RNA is filed under the name uncultured bacterium. RNAcentral's name for it is "bacterial SSU rRNA". It matches the Rfam family "Bacterial small subunit ribosomal RNA", at positions 32 to 715 of the family's 1533-position model. The record is from RNAcentral.